This 301-nucleotide ribosomal RNA is filed under the name uncultured bacterium. RNAcentral's name for it is "partial 16S ribosomal RNA". It matches the Rfam family "Bacterial small subunit ribosomal RNA", at positions 509 to 807 of the family's 1533-position model. The record is from RNAcentral.
CAGUAGCCGCGGUAAUACGGAGGAUCCAAGCGUUAUCCGGAUUUAUUGGGUUUAAAGGGUGCGUAGGCGGCCUGUUAAGUCAGGGGUGAAAGACGGUAGCUUAACUAUCGCAGUGCCUUUGAUACUGAUGGGCUUGAAUACACUUGAGGUAGGCGGAAUGUGACAAGUAGCGGUGAAAUGCAUAGAUAUGUCACAGAACACCAAUUGCGAAGGCAGCUUACUAAAGUGUCAUUGACGCUGAGGCACGAAAGCGUGGGGAUCAAACAGGAUUAGAUACCCCCGUAGUCCCUGUCUCUUAUAC